RNAcentral lists this long non-coding RNA (244 nucleotides) under Trifolium pratense (red clover). Its description in RNAcentral is "long non-coding RNA (TPRA_LNC011288)". The record is from RNAcentral. Lineage: Eukaryota; Viridiplantae; Streptophyta; Magnoliopsida; Fabales; Fabaceae.
CAAAAGGGAAAGAGAUUAAAAGGCAAAGAUCUCUGCAUUUAUGGCUUAAAGUUAAACCAUUGAUGAAGAAAAGGGAAGAGAGAAACAAGUAUAAGGUAGUUUCAAUGUAUCAAGAGAUUUGUAGAAAAACCAGAAGUAGAAAAGGCAAGAUUUGUUUACAAGAGUAGAAGCCAAAGGGUUAAAGAAAGAAAGAACCAAAAAAUUGAACAAAAAAGAAAACCAGAAAGAACCAACAAUAAUAUUA